UACGUAGGGGGCAAGCGUUGUCCGGAAUCAUUGGGCGUAAAGAGCGCGCAGGCGGUCGUUCAAGUCGCGUGUGAAAGCCCCCGGCUCAACUGGGGAGGGUCACGCGAUACUGAUCGACUCGAAGGCAGGAGAGGGUAGUGGAAUUCCCGGUGUAGUGGUGAAAUGCGUAGAUAUCGGGAGGAACACCAGUGGCGAAGGCGACUACCUGGCCUGUUCUUGACGCUGAGGCGCGAAAGCUAGGGGAGCAAACGGG
This 253-nucleotide ribosomal RNA is filed under the name uncultured bacterium. RNAcentral's name for it is "partial 16S ribosomal RNA". It matches the Rfam family "Bacterial small subunit ribosomal RNA", at positions 524 to 776 of the family's 1533-position model. The record is from RNAcentral.